CCUACGGGCGGCAGCAGUGAGGGAUAUUGGUCAAUGGACGAGAGUCUGAACCAGCCAAGUAGCGUGAAGGAUGACUGCCCUAUGGGUGGUAAACUUCUUUUAUAUGGGAAUAAAACAGGGUAUGCAUACCCUCUUGUAUGUACCAUAUGAAUAAGGAUCGGCUAACUCCGUGCCAGCAGCCGCGGUAAUACGGAGGAUCCGAGCGUUAUCCGGAUUUAUGGGGUUUAAAGGGAGCGUAGGUGGAUUGUUAAGUCAGUUGUGAAAGUUUGCGGCUCAACCGUAAAAUUGCAGUUGAAACUGGCAGUCUUGAGUACAGUAGAGGUGGGCGGAAUUCGUGGUGUAGCGGUGAAAUGCUUAGAUAUCACGAAGAACUCCGGUUGCGAAGGCAGCUCGCUGGACUGCAACUGACACUGAUGCUCGAAAGUGUGGGUAUCAAACAGGAUUAGAUACCCGAGUAGUC
RNAcentral lists this ribosomal RNA (460 nucleotides) under uncultured bacterium. RNAcentral's name for it is "partial 16S ribosomal RNA". It matches the Rfam family "Bacterial small subunit ribosomal RNA", at positions 338 to 795 of the family's 1533-position model. The record is from RNAcentral.